Molecule: ribosomal RNA, 483 nt
Filed under: uncultured bacterium
Lineage: Bacteria
Description: bacterial SSU rRNA
Rfam family: Bacterial small subunit ribosomal RNA
Source: RNAcentral
UUGAACGCUGGCGGCAGGCCUAACACAUGCAAGUCGAGCGGAUGAGUGGAGCUUGCUCCAUGAUUCAGCGGCGGACGGGUGAGUAAUGCCUAGGAAUCUGCCUAGUGGUGGGGGAUAACGUUCGGAAACGGACGCUAAUACCGCAUACGUCCUACGGGAGAAAGCGGGGGAUCUUCGGACCUCGCGCCAUUAGAUGAGCCUAGGUCGGAUUAGCUAGUUGGUGAGGUAAUGGCUCACCAAGGCGACGAUCCGUAACUGGUCUGAGAGGAUGAUCAGUCACACUGGAACUGAGACACGGUCCAGACUCCUACGGGAGGCAGCAGUGGGGAAUAUUGGACAAUGGGCGAAAGCCUGAUCCAGCCAUGCCGCGUGUGUGAAGAAGGUCUUCGGAUUGUAAAGCACUUUAAGUUGGGAGGAAGGGUAGUAACCUAAUACGUUGCUACUUUGACGUUACCGACAGAAUAAGCACCGGCUAACUUCGUG